This 685-nucleotide ribosomal RNA is filed under the name uncultured Vibrionaceae bacterium. Its description in RNAcentral is "bacterial SSU rRNA". It matches the Rfam family "Bacterial small subunit ribosomal RNA", at positions 1 to 671 of the family's 1533-position model. The record is from RNAcentral. Lineage: Bacteria; Pseudomonadati; Pseudomonadota; Gammaproteobacteria; Vibrionales; Vibrionaceae.
UAGAGUUUGAUCAUGGCUCAGAUUGAACGCUGGCGGCAGGCUUAACACAUGCAAGUCGAGCGGAAACGACAACAUUGAAUCUUCGGAGGAUUUGUUGGGCGUCGAGCGGCGGACGGGUGAGUAAUGCCUAGGAAAUUGCCUUGAUGUGGGGGAUAACCAUUGGAAACGAUGGCUAAUACCGCAUAAUGCCUACGGGCCAAAGAGGGGGAUCUUCGGACCUCUCGCGUCAAGAUAUGCCUAGGUGGGAUUAGCUAGUUGGUGAGGUAAUGGCUCACCAAGGCGACGAUCCCUAGCUGGUCUGAGAGGAUGAUCAGCCACACUGGAACUGAGACACGGUCCAGACUCCUACGGGAGGCAGCAGUGGGGAAUAUUGCACAAUGGGCGAAAGCCUGAUGCAGCCAUGCCGCGUGUAUGAAGAAGGCCUUCGGGUUGUAAAGUACUUUCAGUUGUGAGGAAGGGUGUGUAGUUAAUAGCUGCGCAUCUUGACGUUAGCAACAGAAGAAGCACCGGCUAACUCCGUGCCAGCAGCCGCGGUAAUACGGAGGGUGCGAGCGUUAAUCGGAAUUACUGGGCGUAAAGCGCAUGCAGGUGGUUCAUUAAGUCAGAUGUGAAAGCCCGGGGCUCAACCUCGGAACUGCAUUUGAAACUGGUGAACUAGAGUGCUGUAGAGGGGGGUAGAAUUUCA